UGAGCAACCUGCCCCUUGCUUUGGGAUAACCCUCGGAAACGGGGGCUAAUACCGAAUGUUCACUGCUGGACGCAUGUUUGGUGGUGGAAAGUUUUUCGGCUGGGGAUGGGCUCGCGGCCUAUCAGCUUGUUGGUGGGGUGAUGGCCUACCAAGGCGACGACGGGUAGCCGGCCUGAGAGGGCGAUCGGCCACACUGGGACUGAGACACGGACCCAGACCUCCUACGGGAGGCA
RNAcentral lists this ribosomal RNA (233 nucleotides) under uncultured bacterium. Its description in RNAcentral is "partial 16S ribosomal RNA". It matches the Rfam family "Bacterial small subunit ribosomal RNA", at positions 118 to 350 of the family's 1533-position model. The record is from RNAcentral.